This 254-nucleotide ribosomal RNA is filed under the name uncultured bacterium. Its description in RNAcentral is "partial 16S ribosomal RNA". It matches the Rfam family "Bacterial small subunit ribosomal RNA", at positions 524 to 776 of the family's 1533-position model. The record is from RNAcentral.
UACGAAGGGGGGCUAGCGUUGCUCGGAAUCACUGGGCGUAAAGCGCACGUAGGCGGAUCGUUAAGUCAGGGGUGAAAUCCUGGAGCUCAACUCCAGAACUGCCUUUGAUACUGGCGACCUUGAGUUCGGGAGAGGUGAGUGGAACUGCGAGUGUAGAGGUGAAAUUCGUAGAUAUUCGCAAGAACACCAGUGGCGAAGGCGGCUCACUGGCCCGAUACUGACGCUGAGGUGCGAAAGCGUGGGGAGCAAACAGG